AGGACGAACGCUGGCGGUGUGCUUCACACAUGCAAGUCGAACGAGGUAGCAAUACCUAGUGGCGGACGGGUGAGUAACGCGUGGGAAUCUGCCUUUAGAUGGGGGAUAACGAGCCGAAAGGUUCGCUAAUACCGCAUAUGCCGCAAGGUGAAAGGAGUAAUCCGUCUGAAGAUGAGCCCGCGUCCGAUUAGCUAGUUGGUGGGGUAAAGGCCUACCAAGGCGACGAUCGGUAGCUGGUCUGAGAGGAUGAUCAGCCACAAUGGGACUGAGACACGGCCCAUACUCCUACGGGAGGCAGCAGUGGGGAAUUUUACGCAAUGGGGAAACCCUGACGUAGCGACACCGCGUGAGCGAAGAAGCCCCUUGGGGUGUAAAGCUCUGUCAGCUGGAACGAAACAAAUGACGGUACCAGCAGAGGAAGCAUCGGCUAACUACGUG
Molecule: ribosomal RNA, 438 nt
Filed under: uncultured bacterium
Lineage: Bacteria
Description: bacterial SSU rRNA
Rfam family: Bacterial small subunit ribosomal RNA
Source: RNAcentral